GACGAACGCUGGCGGCGUGCCUAAUACAUGCAAGUUGAGCGAUGAAGAUUGGUGCUUGCACCAAUUUGAAGAGCAGCGAACGGGUGAGUAACGCGUGGGGAAUCUGCCUUUGAGCGGGGGACAACAUUUGGACACGAAUGCUAAUACCGCAUAACAACUUUAAACAUAAGUUUUAAGUUUGAAAGAUGCAAUUGCAUCACUCAAAGAUGAUCCCGCGUUGUAUUAGCUAGUUGGUGGGUUAACGGCUCACCAAGGCGUUGAUACAUAGCCGACCUGAGAGGAUGAUCGGCCACAUUGGAACUGAGACACGGCCCAAACGCCUACGGGAGGCAGCAGUAGGGAAUCUUAGGCAAUGGGCGAAAGUCUGACCCAGCCACACCGCGUGAGUGAAGAAGGCUUUCGGGUCGUAAAGCCCUUUUGUUGGGAAAGAAAAGCAGUGGGAGAAGAACGCGCGUUACUGACGGUAAACAAAGAAGAAGCACCGGCUAACUUCGUG
RNAcentral lists this ribosomal RNA (496 nucleotides) under uncultured bacterium. Its description in RNAcentral is "partial 16S ribosomal RNA". It matches the Rfam family "Bacterial small subunit ribosomal RNA", at positions 28 to 507 of the family's 1533-position model. The record is from RNAcentral.